This 29-nucleotide non-coding RNA is filed under the name Bombyx mori (domestic silkworm). Lineage: Eukaryota; Metazoa; Arthropoda; Insecta; Lepidoptera; Bombycidae. The record is from RNAcentral.
UCCUACACUGCACAAUUGCCUUAGACAUC